Molecule: ribosomal RNA, 292 nt
Filed under: uncultured bacterium
Lineage: Bacteria
Description: partial 16S ribosomal RNA
Source: RNAcentral
GGACUACUGGGGUAUCUAAUCCUGUUUGCUCCCCGCACUUUCGCGCCUCAGCGUCAGUCAUCGGCUGGAAAUCCGCCUUCGCCACCGGUGUUCUUCCUGAUAUCUACAGAUUUCACCCCUACACCAGGAAUUCCGAUUCCCCCUCCGUGACUCAAGCUCUACAGUUUCCAACGCAGUUCAUGGGUUAAGCCCAUGUAUUUCACGUCAGACUUGCAAAGCCGCCUACGCGCCCUUUACGCCCAAUAAUUCCGAACAACGCUCGCCCCUUACGUGUUACCGCGGCUGCUGGCAC